RNAcentral lists this unclassified non-coding RNA (311 nucleotides) under fungal sp. Its description in RNAcentral is "partial internal transcribed spacer region". The stretch from base 1 to 46 matches the Rfam family "Eukaryotic small subunit ribosomal RNA", at positions 1786 to 1831 of the family's 1831-position model. The record is from RNAcentral. Lineage: Eukaryota; Fungi.
AAGUCGUAACAAGGUCUCCGUUGGUGAACCAGCGGAGGGAUCAUUACCGAGUCACGUGCUCAAACAACCCUUCUGUGGACCUGAACUAAACCGUUGCCUCGGCGGGCGGUCCCCUGCUAAAAACGCCCCCCCACCCACGUGGUGUGUGUGUGUGUGUGUGUAUAGGCAGGGGACCAGACAGUCCGGCACGCUUUUAAGGCGUCCGGCGCCAGCCGCUGGCCCUAAACAAUUAAACUCUAGUAACUUUUACCUUCUGAGUUUUAAUACAAAAAAAUAAGUCAAAACUUUCAACAACGGAUCUCUUGGCUCUG